GAUAGUUUUAUAAUGAAAGGAGCUGAUGCUUCGCCCAUUGAUGAGCCCGCGUCCUAUUAGUUAGUUGGUAAUGUAAUGGAUUGCCAAGACUAUGAUGGGUAACCGGCCUGAGAGGGUGUACGGUCACACUGGGACUGAGAUACGGCCCAGACUCCUACGGGAGGCAGCAGCUAAGAAUCUUCCGCAAUGGACGAAAGUCUGACGGAGCGACGCCGCGUGAAUGAUGAAGGCCGAAAGGUUGUAAAAUCCUUUUAUCAACGAAGAAUAAAUUUAAUAGGUAAUGAUUAAAUGAUGACGUUAGUUGAUGAAUAAGCCCCGGCUAAUUACGUGCCAGCAGCCGCGGUAAUACGUAAGGGGCAAGCGUUGUUCGGAAUUAUUGGGCGUAAAGGGCGCGUAGGCUGUUUUAUAAGCUUGACGUGAAAUACUGGAGCUUAACUCCAGAACUGCGUUGGGAACUGUAUAACUUGAGUCAUGGAUGGGAAGCUGGAAUUCCAGGUGUAGGGGUGAAAUCUGUAGAUAUCUGGAAGAACACCGGAGGCGAAGGCGAGCUUCUAGACAAUGACUGACGCUGAGGCGCGAAGGUGCGGGGAGCAAACAGGAUUAGAUACCCUGGUAGUCCGCACAGUAAACUAUGUACACUAGAUGUUGGAUUGUAUAAUCCAGUAUCGAAGUUAACACGAUAAGUGUACCGCCUGGGGAGUAUGCUCGCAAGGGUGAAACUCAAAGGAAUUGACGGGGGCCCGCACAAGCGGUGGAGCAUGUGGUUUAAUUCGAUAAUACGCGAGAAACCUUACCUGGGUUUGAUAUAUAACGGAAUACAGUAGAGAUAGUGUAGUGUUUUAAUAACACCGUUAAACUGGUGCUGCAUGGCUGUCGUCAGCUCGUGCCGUGAGGUGUUGGGUUAAGUCCCGCAACGAGCGCAACCCUUACUACCAGUUGCCAGCAGGUAAAGCUGGGGACUCUGGUGGAACUGCCGGUGAUAAACCGGAGGAAGGUGAGGAUAACGUCAAGUCAUCAUGGCCCUUAUGUCCAGGGCUACACACGUGCUACAAUGGUCGAUACAAAGUGAUGCAAAUCUGCAAAGAAUAAGCAAAUCACAGAAAAUCGAUCUCAGUUCGGAUUGAAGUCUGAAACUCGACUUCAUGAAGUUGGAAUCGCUAGUAAUCGCGCAUCAUCAUGGCGCGGUGAAUACGUUCCCGGGCCUUGUACACACCGCCCGUCACACCAUCCGAGUUGGAUGUUCCCGAAGCCGAUUGCUUAACCUUAAUUAUUUAAGGAGAGUGUUGUCUAAGGUAUGGCUAGCAAGGAGGGUGAAGUCGUAACAAGGUA
This 1329-nucleotide ribosomal RNA is filed under the name metagenome. RNAcentral describes it as "bacterial SSU rRNA". It matches the Rfam family "Bacterial small subunit ribosomal RNA", at positions 188 to 1498 of the family's 1533-position model. The record is from RNAcentral.